Cylas formicarius (sweet potato weevil) is the source of this 636-nucleotide long non-coding RNA. RefSeq lists it as uncharacterized. NCBI's taxonomy places the organism in Eukaryota, Metazoa, Arthropoda, Insecta, Coleoptera, Brentidae. The record is from RefSeq and is a predicted model, not a curated record. The transcript is spliced from 4 exons.
AAGUGCGGGGUUUUUUAGGGCCGAUUUUUUUCAAAAUAUGCCUAGAUCUUGUUAAACGUUGUGGAAAAACGAGUUAAGUGUGUAGAAAUAGCGAUUUCGAAAGAAAUUGGAGCAAAGUGCAGUCUGGUCGUCUUCCUCCACGCCCACACCGUGCACCUCUUUCGCGUGGUUAUCGAGAAACGACUGCUCCGCGAAAUUCUCCGAACAGUUGGGACACUUGAUCAACUGGUGGAGCCUCACGUGGACUCCCAACGCGAGUUCCGUAGCGAAACCUCUGCCGCAGGUGACACUUUAGCGUCACUUUCUGCCUGAACCCGGAGUCGCAUAUCGUGCAGAUGAAGGGCGCCUCGUUGGUGUGCUGGCGGACGUGGGUCCUUAAACCGUGACGGCUGGCGAACCCCUUGCCGCAGUAUUCGCACACGUGAGGGCGUCGUUUCUCGUGGAUCGACCUGAUGUGGUUUUGGAGGAACACUGGGACAUAGAUGAGUCAAAUCAAACGACCGUGGGAUCGGUGGCGACUGCGAUGGCGAGCUGUUGACGUUGGAUAUUUUGCAAAUGCUUGACCGCCAUUUCAAGUAUGUCCGCUUUUUCCAGUUUGGAGUGACGGGCGGGCUGAAAAAUGGCGUUUUUUGAGCU